CUCAGGUGUGGGGAGAAGGAAGAGUAACACUGAAAACCCGCCAAGCCUGUCCGUGCCGUCCGGUGUCUUCCCUUUCAGCCUUCUACCCGCUUCUUCCUUUCUUCUCCUGUUGUCCUCCCUCGCUUUUCCCUCUUUUUUUCGGUUUCCGAGCCUUCGGCGGCAUCAGCCUGGUAUAUUGUAAAGUUCCACAGUAACAGUGGAGUUAGGAGGCACUAUAGUCCUAAGUCCUCAUUUUGAAAAGGGGGAAACCGGGUUCCGAGCCUGUGCCUAGAUUGUUUGCGCUCUCAUUUUUUGCUCCACUCUUCUGCCUCUAAACGUUUCCUCUUUUCUGGGGACCCGGCUGCGGUUGCUGGACCACAUGUGUUGCCCAACCACACCAAGAUCAGGACGCCCAGCGGGGAGUGUUCGGUCUGGGCUUUUCCUCCUGUUCUGUAACCUUGCAUCUUUAAGUUCCAUUGGUUAUGGCUAUAGGGGCCACGCUGUCCAAGUCCCAUUGCUUACUUGUGUAUCAAUGAGUCACCCAUUUCUGACUCUAAGUCCGAGACAUUCUUACAUUUUCCUAGACAAAAUAAGAGCUUGGAUGCUGUGAUGCUGAGGCCAGGAUUACUUAGCUGAAGCUACUGGCCACAGGCCUGGGGGCCUAAGGGGUUAUGAGGGUUGGCUUAUCUUCCUGCGGAAGGCAGCCUCAACGGUGAGCUCAGUGGCCACCCAAAACUGUUAGCACCAUCCUGAGCCUGUCUUCUAGGGACCAUCCCUGGCAGGGGCACCCAUCUUCAGGCAGGUUUUAUUUUUGAACACACUUCAAAAACGACUUCAAAGGGGACUGGCUGCCUGCAGUUCUGGGAUUUAAAAAUAUAGCUGGAGUCACUGGGCAGGUCCCAGUAAGUAUUGCAGUAAAUAUCAGGUUCUUGCUGUGGUUAGGUCUAAUUCUUCUGGAGCAAAGUGAGACUAUAAAUGCAUCCAUGAAAGGUGAGCAGUUGGUGCUUCUGCUUUAGCCACUGCCUGCUAGAUUACCUCUACCUGUCCCCAAUUAGUGCUUAUAGCAGUGCUUGCAUUCAUCCCUGUUCAACCUACCCCAAGUUUUUAUGCCACGGGACUCUAGUGGGCCAUAAGCUCCCUUUAAAGGGACUUUUUAGAAGUAGCCAAUUUGAUGCCUGGUGUUUAGAAAUAGAGGGCCACUCAUGCUACAGAUGUCUGAGUGUCAAGUACCUGUAAAGCAUAUAAUGCAGGGAAUAGCUCCUCUGGUGACAUUUCUUAGAUUGCAUACUCAGGUGUUAAAGCAUGGGUUAUGACUCAGUCAGCAAAGCAGAGUAUGGUAAUAAAUCUAAGGUCUCAUGGGGAGUGACAGAGCUAGAACUUGAAGCCGAGUCUUUUUAACUCCUCAGAGCUUUCCACUGUACUGGGGGCUGGUCCUCACUUGCUUUGGUCCUCACAGCAGAAUAGUUGUGCCCAAUUUUAUAAAGAAAAUAGGCACAAAAGGUUAGCUAUAGAACCAUAAUUAGAGUCCAGUCCUGCCUGCUCCCAGUUCAUACAUCCAUUGAAAGUUCCCAUGAGCCAGGAGCAGUGGUGCAUGCUUGUAAUCCCAGUGAUUUAAGAGGCUGAGGAAGGAUUGCAAGUUUGAGGCUAGUCUCAGCAAUUUAGCAAGGUCCUAAGCAACUCAGCAAGACCCUGUCUCACGCUAAAAAAUAAAAAGGGCUUGGGAUGUGGCUCAGUCGUAAAAAGCCCCUUGGGUUCAAUCCCCCAUACUAUUACUACUACUGUUAAUAAUAAUAAUAAAUAAAAAAUGUUACCAUGAAAGCAGUGUCAGUAAUACCUUAGGCCAGCUUUUAACCUUUUAGCCCUUCC
RNAcentral lists this long non-coding RNA (1845 nucleotides) under Marmota monax (woodchuck). Lineage: Eukaryota; Metazoa; Chordata; Mammalia; Rodentia; Sciuridae. The record is from RNAcentral.